CACACACACACACACACACACACACAAAUAAAUAAAAGGCAUAGAGAGGAAGAAAAAGAAAAAUCAAAAAACAAAAAAAAAUAUAAUUUGGGAGAAACUUAAGUAAUCGGGUAAAAAAGUAUUUUGGAAUUAAGCAAUGAUGCAGGGCAUAGUGACACAUGCUUGUAAUCCCAGUUCUUGGGAGGUGGACACAAGAGGAUCUGUUGUUCAAGACUAGCCUCAGCUGUGUGGCAAGUUUGAAGUUAGCCUGGGCUACAUGAGAUCCUGUCUCAGAAACAAAUAACAACAAAAGGAAUUAAACAACCUCAAGAUUCCUUUUCUUCAUGAUAUUAACAAAGAAUUAUAAGCAAAGCAUGUAGCAUGGGUCAGAAAAACACCCUGUAGUCAAUGCCAAAUAGCAGUGUGUAAAAUAGGGUGACAUGGUAAAAUGGACAGUUAAAUAAUCAAAUCCCUGGAUUUUGGUCCCCAUUGCUCUUUUUCUUGACUGUGUGAUCUUCAGUAACUUCUCCUUUCAGGCUCCAACCUUCCAGGUGUGUGAUAUAAUGGAGAUGCAGUGUGAUUCUGCAAGUUGCCUCAGGGAAGGUGUGGCUUUCCUGGCAUCUGCUGCCCAGAAUCCGACAGGCUGUCAGAGCGUGCUCGAUGACGUUGUGGAAACAGGAGUGUGGUAAUGAGAGGCCCUCAGAUCCCAGAGGACACCACAAGAGAAGUCAGCAAAGAGCUGAAGACUCCAGCAACCAUAGGAAUGAACAGGACAGAAGAAUAAAGCUUCCACCCAGACCCAAACGUGUUUGACUCACUGCUACAAGAUUCUUCUCCCCUGGCUCCAGGAGCCCUUCCCAGUGAGGAUACAGGAAGACAUCAGGAGACGGUAUGGAGCUUAAUUUGGAGACCGCUGACAGAGGCCCUGUAAAAUGUGCAUAAAGCAAGCGCGUGUGCCACUGAGAGUCUCUGGAAGGCUGUGAAGAUUUAGCACAAGCCAGUAAAGUGCUCACACAGUGUGGUUUUCACUGGCCUCUUGUUUCGUGAAGCACAGACCACUUAAGAGAUCCGCCUGCAUGCCUGGCUUGAUGAUAGGAUUUCCAAUCUGAAAUUGUACCAAACAAAUAACGGCGCUAGGUAAUCAGUUUCCCAUGCUUGGUUCUGCUCUUCAUGUAAUAUUCAUAUCAAGACUUCCUGAAAACUUUUAGCGUUUUAGAAUUCCUUAGACCCAGCUCACUUUAUGACAGUCUUUAGUGCUCUGGCCAUCAGCGCCAUCCUUUGAAAUCACCGUGUCUCUGCCGUGUAUUCCCUGGAUGGCCGUUAGCGACGGGGCCAGUCGGAUCGUCUGAUUCUUUUGUUUGUCUGUUUCAUUGCUCUUUCUCACAGUGUUCCUUAAUUUAUGAUUCUAACCUCACAAUAUUCUAGGGCUGACUUUUAUUGAAUUUUGCAUCAGGACUAAAGGUGGCUUUUUUUUGUUGUUGUUUUGUUUUCAGCUACUUGUGCCAACACAGAUGCUGAACAAAUCACAGGAAAUUAAAUCAUGUUUUUUAAUUUUCUGCUCAUAGUCUACUCCCUACUGCCGCCGCCCCCGCCCCCACACCCCCAGCACCUUCUUUUGAGACUGGUCUGGUGUAUAUAGUUGAGUAUGGCCUUGAACUUCCGAUCCUCCUGUCUGUACUUCUUGAGUGCCAGGAUUGCAGGCAUGAGCCAGCCACCUGUUUUAUGCAGUGCUGAGGAUAGAAAUCACAGCUUUGUACAUGCCAGGCAAGCCCUCUGACAGUGAGCUAGAACCCUAGCUAGCCCCAGGCCUCCCUGGUCUCCAUGGUAACAAAGCCCACUUCCGUUAUCAGACAAGGUCAUAAGGUCCAAAGGAGGCCAGUUCGAAUCCUUCUCCAGAUUGUUCCUACAGGUGUGCUGAGAGGUUGUUGACUGUGGAACAGAGGAGUUAGAGGCAGAGAUGAGAGACCAAUAAAGAGAAGCCCAAAGCAGGCGCGCCAUCCUCAGGCAUCCCCUGGACCAGUCCUCUGUGGCUUUUCCUGUGGAUGCGGUAUAGGAGACUUAUACCCACUUAAGUGACCUUGAGCCAGUAAUUACUGUUAUUUGCUAAUAACAACUCCACAUUGACACAGAAAUAAAGCACGUAAGUAUAAAUGUACUUAACCUGUGGUAGGGCCGCCUGGAAAAUUCUUAAACUGAGGUUUUUGUUUCCCUGGUUAAUUUCCAUGAAGCAAUUCUUAGUUAUACCUCGUACUCUGAUUUCUUGUUUGGAGUUAGGGACAGGGAGUGACUGCCAGUCUUCAUAUUCUUUGUAUUAAUUCGUGUUAAUGAAAGCUCUAGAGUUCUGAUUGGUGAAUGCUCAGGUCCAAUGUUACCUGUCAAGACGCAACUGUGAUUGCAUCAAGAGGCUGGGAUGUUGGUUGGGGUCGGUGUUAGCAUUCAGACAUUAUUCCUGCCCUCCCCCUGUCACGGGGCAGGAUGCACUUGUCAAGCAUUCAGGCAAAUACUUAGUCAGGGUCCUAUAAGCUGUACGUCACUACAUACUUAAGUUCAUGUGCUGUGUGGCUAAGUAAGGCUCUGUAGGCAUGCCCAGAGGCCCCAGUUUUUUUAAGUAAGCUCUGCCCACUCCUCUGUCUCUUCAUCUCUUCCCUUUCCCAAUUGACCUUCACGACCUCCUCUUAAGGCCCCUUCCCAUCAAUAAACUUCUUCUUAGAUUUGUUGUCUAUCAUGAUUUGUUGGCUUCUGCUAAACUACAGCAGUCAGUCUUACGUACAUCUCUGUGGACAACUGUGUCUCCAGGACAGGGCCACCUGAUGCUCUGCCAGAAGCAAGGGGAGGAGGCUCUUCUGUCCCAUUCUCUGGGUCCUCUGAAAGAAGGCAACCCGAAGUGCCAAAAUUUAAGAGGGCAAACUGAGGUGAACUUGUUCUGCAUUUUCUCAAUUUCUCAGAAGAAUGAAAAGACCCUGAGCCCAAUUUAGAGCAUGAGGGAAGAUAGCAAAAGUACCUGACAAAAAACAACCUA
Long non-coding RNA from Mesocricetus auratus (golden hamster), 2998 nucleotides. RefSeq lists it as uncharacterized. The transcript has 5 exons. NCBI's taxonomy places the organism in Eukaryota, Metazoa, Chordata, Mammalia, Rodentia, Cricetidae. The record is from RefSeq and is a predicted model, not a curated record.